AGCUCCGAAUACGGGUGGAGAAGCUGAAAGGCCUCCAACGCUGCUGUUAUGCGUGGUUAGCCCUACGGUUCGGAGCAUU
This 79-nucleotide non-coding RNA is filed under the name unclassified sequences. The record is from Rfam.